GUGGUUUUCCCCAGUCCACCCAUACCUGACACUGUUAUCACCUUACUGUCCAGCUCGUCGGUGUACAACCAUUCAGUCAGCAGUCUCCUGUUGUCUUCAAUCCCCACAAGAUCUUCAUCUUUCACAAGUUCUGGGAAGCUGUCCCGGGACCUCUGUCUUUCCAUCUCGGAACCACUCUUCCGCCAUUUGCACAGAGUAAUACGAGUAUUUGUCCAUGACAUCCUCAACACGGUAGGCCACCUUCCUCACCUCCCCAAUCCAACCCUUGACGACUUCAUCAGUGAGAGCAAGGAGGACCGCCUCUGCCAUUUGUGCUGA
RNAcentral lists this long non-coding RNA (318 nucleotides) under Oryza sativa Indica Group (long-grained rice). RNAcentral's name for it is "lncRNA OsKYG_11g0007900". Lineage: Eukaryota; Viridiplantae; Streptophyta; Magnoliopsida; Poales; Poaceae. The record is from RNAcentral.